GGAGCAUGUGGCUUAAUUUGACUCAACGCGGGAAAUCUUACCGGGUCCGGACACACUGAGGAUUGACAGGUAACGUUAUACACACAUAUAUUUACUCUCGGGUAUUUAUACUGCUGUGUAUAUAUAAAAUAUGCUAGUCCUUUCAUGAUUAUGUGAUAGGUGGUGCAUGGCCGUUCUUAGUUCGUGGAGUGAUCUGUCUGCUUAAUUGCGUUUCACUAAGGAUCUAUAUUCAUAUUACGCAUAGCAUUUUGACCCCUUUAUGCUUCGGUAUAAAGCUGCGCGUCAAACCUUGCUAUCUGCGUAUAUUAGAUCCUGAAAGCAACGAACGUGACCGCAACCUCUUGUUGCCUUUAACUAGGUUUUGCUUACGUAUAGCUUCGGCUUUACGCUUUGCAUCUAAAAAGGCUGAUUUUCUAAACUAGAGGGACCGCUGUUACUUUCUUAAACCAGAGGAAGGUUGCGGCAAUAACAG
This 472-nucleotide ribosomal RNA is filed under the name Nonionella sp. T1. RNAcentral describes it as "SSU rRNA". It matches the Rfam family "Eukaryotic small subunit ribosomal RNA", at positions 1178 to 1459 of the family's 1831-position model. Lineage: Eukaryota; Foraminifera; Rotaliida; Nonionidae. The record is from RNAcentral.